This 700-nucleotide ribosomal RNA is filed under the name uncultured Ascomycota. RNAcentral's name for it is "LSU rRNA". It matches the Rfam family "Eukaryotic large subunit ribosomal RNA", at positions 399 to 1411 of the family's 3401-position model. Lineage: Eukaryota; Fungi; Ascomycota. The record is from RNAcentral.
GUGAAAUUGUUGAAAGGGAAGCGCUUGCAACCAGACUUGCACGUAGUUAAUCAUCCAGGGUUUUCCCCGGUGCACUUGGCUACGUUCAGGCCAGCAUCGGUUUCGGUGGUUGGAUAAAGGCCUAGGGAAUGUGGCUCUCUUCGGGGAGUGUUAUAGCCCUAGGUGCAAUGCAGCCCACCGGGACCGAGGACCGCGCUUCGGCUAGGAUGCUGGCGUAAUGGUUGUAAGCGACCCGUCUUGAAACACGGACCAAGGAGUCUAACAUCUAUGCGAGUGUUUGGGUGUCAAACCCAUACGCGUAAUAAAAGUGAACGGAGGUGAGAACCCUUAAGGGUGCAUCAUCGACCGAUCCUGAUGUCUUCGGAUGGAUUUGAGUAAGAGCAUAGCUGUUGGGACCCGAAAGAUGGUGAACUAUGCGUGAAUAGGGUGAAGCCAGAGGAAACUCUGGUGGAGGCUCGCAGCGGUUCUGACGUGCAAAUCGAUCGUCAAAUUUGCGCAUAGGGGCGAAAGACUAAUCGAACCAUCAAUGUAGUUUGCGCUAGGUGGUUAAGAGGUAGCCUAAAUAGCAUACCUAGUCCUGGUCUGAGGACUACACUAUCAAAUUGUUCGGGGACGUCCUGUUUUAAAUUCUAAACUACCGCAGCCUUCUUGAAAGAGAGGUGCGCACCAGGUUAAUGCCCUCGGGGAUGGUAAUAACGUU